GUAGAUAUGUGGAAGAACACCAGUGGCGAAAGCGGCUUGCUAGAUCGUAACUGACGUUGAGGCUCGAAAGUAUGGGUAGCAAACGGGAUUAGAUACCCCGGUAGUCCAUACCGUAAACGAUGGGUGCUAGUUGUUAAGAGGUUUCCGCCUCCUAGUGACGUAGCAAACGCAUUAAGCACCCCGCCUGAGGAGUACGGCCGCAAGGCUAAAACUUAAAGGAAUUGACGGGGACCCGCACAAGCGGUGGAGCAUGUGGUUUAAUUCGAAGAUACGCGAAAAACCUUACCAGGUCUUGACAUACCAAUGAUCGCUUUUGUAAUGAAAGCUUUUCUUCGGAACAUUGGAUACAGGUGGUGCAUGGUCGUCGUCAGCUCGUGUCGUGAGAUGUUGGGUUAAGUCCCGCAACGAGCGCAACCCUUGUUAUUAGUUGCCAGCAUUUAGUUGGGCACUCUAAUGAGACUGCCGGUGAUAAACCGGAGGAAGGUGGGGAC
RNAcentral lists this ribosomal RNA (491 nucleotides) under Oenococcus oeni. RNAcentral describes it as "bacterial SSU rRNA". It matches the Rfam family "Bacterial small subunit ribosomal RNA", at positions 690 to 1180 of the family's 1533-position model. The record is from RNAcentral. Lineage: Bacteria; Bacillati; Bacillota; Bacilli; Lactobacillales; Lactobacillaceae.